GCUUGUAGAAUUCCUGUUUAAAUUGGUCCACCAGAUAAUCCCAUUGCUUAGGUUCAAAUAAGACCUGUAAAAGGAUUGGGAGAAGACACUGAAUGUGCUACAUAUAA
Long non-coding RNA from Neltuma alba, 107 nucleotides. RefSeq lists it as uncharacterized. NCBI's taxonomy places the organism in Eukaryota, Viridiplantae, Streptophyta, Magnoliopsida, Fabales, Fabaceae. The record is from RefSeq and is a predicted model, not a curated record. The transcript is spliced from 4 exons.